RNAcentral lists this long non-coding RNA (711 nucleotides) under Podarcis lilfordi (Lilford's wall lizard). Lineage: Eukaryota; Metazoa; Chordata; Lepidosauria; Squamata; Lacertidae. The record is from RNAcentral.
UGUGUGGUAAGUCAGUAUGUACUAGCAUAUCUCUAAGUGAUCUGGUGCGUCAUUUAUCAAAGCAGGAAAAGACCUCACAGCCUGGAAUAUUCAAUCUCACUGGGCAAAAGACAUAUACCACUUGAAUCAUGGGAAAAGAUUUUAAAAUUCGCAGCAUGCAGUUCAUUAAAAGAAAAUUCUAUGAAGAUGAUGUACCGAUGCUAUUUCACUCCAGUAAGCUUACUAAAAUGUAUAAAGAUACCUCUAAUUUAUGCUGGAAAUGUAAGGAUAUGGAAAGUCCUUUUUUUCUUUUUCAUAUGUCGUGGACAUGUAAAAAAGUAAAGGGCUUCUGGGAAAUUAUAAAAAAUGAACUUAAAAAAAUGUUUAAAAUUACGUUUGUUAAAAAAUCAGAGGCCUUUCUUAUUAGGUGUAAUAGGAGAAAAUAUGCCAAGGAAGCAAAAGAGACUGUUCAUUUAUGCGACUACAGCGGCCAGAUGCUACUAUCCCAGAUGUGGAAAGAAGAAAAGGUCCCAAGGAAAGAAGAAUGGAUAACUAAGAUGAGUGACUAUGUCGAAACGGCUAAACUAACCCUGAAGAUCAGGCACCAAGAUGAGAAAAAAAUCAAUCAAGAAUGGGAAAACUCAAUAGACACGUUUAAAUAACACUGUAAAAGAGGCAAAACAUUAGCAGGUUUGGUGUAACAUUUAUGAACUAAGAAUAGAAUUGGGGGGG